Molecule: ribosomal RNA, 253 nt
Filed under: uncultured bacterium
Lineage: Bacteria
Description: partial 16S ribosomal RNA
Rfam family: Bacterial small subunit ribosomal RNA
Source: RNAcentral
UACAGAGGGUGCUAGCGUUGUUCGGAAUCAUUGGGCGUAAAGGGCGUGUAGGCGGUUUGUUAAGUCAUGUGUGAAAUCCCUCGGCUCAACCGGGGAACGACGCAUGAAACUGGCAAGCUAGAGUACCAAAGAGGGGGGUGGAAUUCCUGGUGUAGCGGUGAAAUGCGCAGAUAUCAGGAGGAACACCAAUGGCGAAGGCAGCACUCUGGGACGUGACUGACGCUGAGACGCGAAAGCGUGGGGAGCAAACAGG